AACGCACCUUGCGCCCUUUGGUAUUCCAAUGGGCAUGCCUGUUUGAGUGUCAUGAAAUUCUCCAACCUAUACUUUUGUUAAUCGAUCGUAUAUGGAUAUGGGACUUUGAUUGUUGCAGGAUUUAUUUUUUGCUCAAUCUAAAUACAGUAGCAGAGGGAUCUCUUUGUCACUCUUUGACUUAGCAUGAUAAUUAUCUUUGUUAUUUCAUGGAGAAAAAUGAUUAAGAAAAUUCCUAGCUUCUAAUCAGACGUUUUCUUUCAGAAGACUCACCUUUUUUAAUUGACCUCAAAUCAGGUAGGGCUACCCGCUGAACUUAA
Molecule: unclassified non-coding RNA, 317 nt
Filed under: uncultured fungus
Lineage: Eukaryota; Fungi
Description: partial contains 5.8S ribosomal RNA, internal transcribed spacer 2, and large subunit ribosomal RNA
Rfam family: 5.8S ribosomal RNA (bases 1-52)
Source: RNAcentral